UGAGGAAUUUUGCGCAAUGGGGGAAACCCUGACGCAGCAACGCCGCGUGGGCGAUGAAGGCCUUCGGGUCGUAAAGCCCUGUCGGGCGGGAAGAACGCUCUUGGUCGAAGGACUGGGGGGUGACGGUACCGCCAGAGGAAGCACCGGCUAACUCCGUGCCAGCAGCCGCGGUAAUACGGAGGGUGCAAGCGUGAUGAGGAAUUACUGGGCGUAAAGGGCGUGCAGGCGGGAGAGCAAGUCUGAUGUGAAAGCCCGGGGCUUAACCCCGGAAGGGCAUGGGAAACUGC
RNAcentral lists this ribosomal RNA (287 nucleotides) under uncultured prokaryote. RNAcentral describes it as "partial 16S ribosomal RNA". It matches the Rfam family "Bacterial small subunit ribosomal RNA", at positions 355 to 636 of the family's 1533-position model. The record is from RNAcentral.